Molecule: long non-coding RNA, 889 nt
Organism: Gopherus flavomarginatus (Mexican gopher tortoise)
Lineage: Eukaryota; Metazoa; Chordata; Testudines; Testudinidae
Exons: 2
Source: RefSeq, a predicted model, not a curated record
CUGGGUGGGUGCGCUCGGAGCUUCCUCCCCUUCCCGGCAUUCCACUGCAGCAGCCAAGAUUGGAAAUGCUGAACACUUCACAUUUUCUUGCACGUUGUAAUAGAUAUUGCCUCCAUCAGGAGAAACAAACUGUUUUAGCAUGAAGGGAACCCAUUCCAGGAGAAAAUACUGAGAAUUUUAAAUGGAUAUCUAAUUUAUGAGGGCUUUUUAAUUUUUCAGCCUACCCUUGCAAACUUUAAAUUGCAUUCCCAGCUAUGACAUCUGGUUUCUCAUCAGUGCGUGUGCCAUCAUUUUGCAAAAGUUGGUACCAUCUAACAUGAUGAAUCAUCAUAGUUAUUGAUCUUUGGAAGAUGGACAGCUCUGCAAUAUCUGCUUGGAAUACUUUUUUUAGUGGGGAAAAGCAUAUAGGAGAUAACUUUAAUAGUGCACAGCAAAAAUCUCUAUGGAGGCAAACUGCUUUAGUCUGUGAAACCAUGGGAUGGUAUAACAACGAUUUGUCUUAACAAAAUUCUGACUGUUUUGCUGCCUCAGUUUACUUCUUGUUGUAUGACCUAAAGCUGAUCUUACACCUUCAUGGACGGUGAGGAUUCAUAAUGCUGCCUUGUUGGGCCAUAUUCUGUAAUAGCCAUUCUCUAGAGUUUAGCACUUGCAGCGUUUUCAAUUUGCAGUGCAAACAUUUUGUGAUUCAGGAGGCUGAUCCAGCUGGUUGUGAUGUAAGCAGAACAUAAGACUUUAUAUAUAAAUUUUUUGUGCGUAUCAUCUAUGUAGAGCUUUGUGAAUUACACUAUUUAUCCUAAACUCUAAAGCUAUAUGACUACAUACAGUACUACUGGUGAGAAUGGGUUGAAAGUAUACCCAAGAUCUGCAAUAAAUGUCUUUUUUGACUUGC